This 207-nucleotide long non-coding RNA is filed under the name Lathyrus oleraceus (garden pea). Its description in RNAcentral is "Pisum sativum (pea) long non-coding RNA (PSAT_LNC033206)". The record is from RNAcentral. Lineage: Eukaryota; Viridiplantae; Streptophyta; Magnoliopsida; Fabales; Fabaceae.
AAUUUUCUUGUUGGUGAUAUGGAUGCAAUUGAAUGCAUGAAUGCAUGGAUGCAACAAUCACACUCAAGAAUCAAGCAAGUCACGCCACACAAAGGUCACGGGAUGGAUCAAGUUAUCCUUAAUAUCAAUCAUCCAUUUUGGUGGAUUAUGGUUUACACCUUAUCAACACCCAAGUUCGAUUGAUAUUGAGGAUAUAAGAGAACGGAU